GAUGAACGCUAGCGGCAGGCUUAACACAUGCAAGUCGAGGGGUAUAGGUUUUCGGACCUAGAGACCGGCGCACGGGUGCGUAACGCGUAUGCAAUCUACCUUUUACAGAGGGAUAGCCCAGAGAAAUUUGGAUUAAUACCUCAUAGUAUUAUUGAAUGGCAUCAUUUAAUAAUUAAAGUUCCAACGGUAAAAGAUGAGCAUGCGUCCCAUUAGCUAGAUGGUAAGGUAACGGCUUACCAUGGCGACGAUGGGUAGGGGUCCUGAGAGGGA
RNAcentral lists this ribosomal RNA (270 nucleotides) under uncultured bacterium. Its description in RNAcentral is "partial 16S ribosomal RNA". It matches the Rfam family "Bacterial small subunit ribosomal RNA", at positions 28 to 301 of the family's 1533-position model. The record is from RNAcentral.